UUUUCUCUAUUUUUUAUCUUAUAUUUUUCUCUACCAUAAAAUUUAUUCCUUGCUCCUCUCCUUACACCCUAAAAAUAAAACCCUAGUCCACCUACCCUUGAGUGUAGGCAACCAUCCUAGGGUUGUCCUACAUCAAUUUUGGUAUCAGAGCGAAAAUUCUUGGCAUGAAGGCAUAUGCAAUUAAGGAGCGGAGCAACUUAUGCAAGCAUGAGUUCCAAAAAAACUUCUAGCAAUCAAGAUGCUACUACAAUACACUUGGAGGAAAUUUCAGCCACACAACAAUCCCAUCAAGAUGUUAUAAUACAACUAAAUAGCAAACUUGAUGAGAUCAUUAAGUUAUUAGAAAAGAGUCGAGAAAAAUGACCAAUUGAAGAGGAGAUUGCAAGUCAUCAAUUUAGACAAUCGCCAAAUCGAUCACACAAAGAACAAGACAAUUUUAUGAUGGGGACUCAAAGAAGGGUCAGACUUUUUGAGCUAGAUGAUGAUGUGACUAAAAAGGCACGUCUUGAAGUUGCUGAAUUUUAUGGAAAACUAAAUCCAACAGCUUUUCUUGAUUGGAUUAUGUCAAUGGAAGAUUACUUUGAUUGGUAUGCAAUGCCUGAAAAUAGAAAAAUUCGUUUUGUGAAGGCAAAGUUGAAAGGAGCAGCACGUCUAUGGUGGCAUAAUAUUGUGAAUCAAGUUCAUAUAACUUGCCAACCACCUAUUGACACAUGGGACAAGAUGAAGUUGAAGAUGAAGGAGCACUUUCUCCCAACUGAUUAUGAACAACUUAUGUAUACAAAAUUAUUUUCCCUUAAACAAGGUACCAAGUCCGUUGAAGAAUAUACAGAAGAAUUCUAUGAAUUGAGCAUUCGAAAUCAAGUGUGGGAAAGUGAUGCUCAACUUGCAGCCCGCUACAAAGUUGGACUUCGAAUGGAAAUUCAACUUGAGAUGAUAGUUGCACACACUUAUAUCGUAGAUGAUGUUUAUCAACUAGCCCUCAAAAUAGAAGAAGGCCUCAAAUUUCAGUUUUCCAGACAUCCAAGUUCACAAAUUGGGAGCACUUUCUCCAACACGACAGCAAGCAAACCUUUAAGUACAUCAAACUUCAGAACUUCUAAUCAUGUGAAUGGUGGGGGCAACACUCAACAAACUUCAAAUGUGGCUCAUAAGAAUGAUAAUAAGGGUAAAACUUCAAUGAGUAUUGGAGAUAGAAAAGUAGACGUGACUCCUUUAUGCUUUAAGUGUGGUGGGCAUGGUCAUUAUGUUGUUGUAUGCCCAACCAAAGGUUUACACUUGUGUUGAAGAACCAGAAUCUGAAUUGGAGAGUUACCCAAAGGAAGAAGAAACCUACAACGAAGAUGAAAUUAGUGAAGAAUGUGACUACUACGAUGGUAUGACGGAAGGGCAUAGUCUUGUAGUACAACCUUUAUUAGCUGUCCCAAAGGUAAAAGGAGAAGAAGAUUGGAGACGUACUAGCAUUUUCCAAACACGUAUUUCUUGCCAAGGGAGAUUAUGCACCAUGCUCAUUGAUGGAGGUAGCAGUUUGAACAUAGCUUUGCAAGAACUUGUUGAGAAGCUUAAUCUAAAGAUAGAAGAUCAUCCAAAUCCCUAUCAAAUAGCAUGGGUAAAUGACACAUCUAUUUUGGUGAGUUCUCGUUGUCUAGUGAUGUUUAAUUUCAGUAAUAAUUUUAAGUUAUCAGCAUGGUGUGAUGUUUUGCCGAUAAAAGUUGCCCAUAUCAUGCUUGGAAGACCAUGGCUUUUUGAUGAAAGGGUCCAACAUGAUGGAUAUGAUAACACUUACACACUUGUGCACAAUGGGCGUAAGAAGAUCCUUCGUCCAAUGAAGGAAACUCCACCACAUAAGCAACCAGAGGAAAAAUUAGCACCCUUGAAACUAGAAGAGUCAUCAAAUAUUCUUAUUAAAAAAGCAAGUCGAAGUUACUAGAAAGGAGGAAGAAAUCAUCAAUGAUGAAUCUAGAAAGCAAGAGGUGAUGAAACUAAUCCUAGAUCAACCAAUAGAAGAGCUCAAAGAAGCUGAAGAAGUUGAAGAAGAAUCGAUGUUUGACUUCCCAAAGCCAAACAUUAUCAUGAGUGGUGACAAACAUAAAAAAUCUGCUGAAAUUUCUUUUGAAUAUAGGGAAUUCAAGAAUCUUAUUCUUCCACAAAACAAUUUACAAGAAGAGUGUGGGAAAUAACUUUCCACAAGCUUGUUGAAGACACAUAAUUAUUUCGAGAAUUAUCAACUUGUUGUACAACAUCAAAAAGUUUUUCAAAGUCUAGUAUUUGUCUUGCAUGAAAUUGAACAAGUUCAAGAGAUCUUGAGAUCUUGUCUCACCAUGGGAAAGAGACGAAAAAGAAAGAAAGGGUGGAAGACAUUGUUCGGAAUUUCAAUUGAUCGUGGAAAAUCACUAAAACUCGAGGUCGAGUUUUUUUCAAGUCAGGGAGAAUUGAUGAGGAUGAAUCUUCAAGAUAUAUAUCAAGAAAGGGAAUUAGUAUUAGUUGUAAUUAAAGUAGGAUUAAUUUUACUUGGAAUUAAAUUAGGAUUAAUAUUUGUUGGAAUUAAAUUAGGAUUAGCUAGUUGAGUUAUAAUAUAAUUAGAAUUUGAGUCAUGAUAGGUUAUUAUAGUCCUAGUAGACUUUGGAUGUUGUAACUAGAAUUAGAAUCAUAAUAUAUUAUUAGAAUCCUAGUAGACUUUGGAUUUCUUAGAGAAGCCUAUAAAUAGGCUAAUCAAUAUAAAUCAAAUAGAUGAAUUGAUAUUAAUAAUAUUAUGUUUUCUUUCAUUACAAGGUUGCAACCCUCAAUGGUGAGACUCUAUUGAUUUUCUUCUAGGUGAGACUCCUAGAAGGCCUUAGUGAGACUCUAAAGUUUUCGAUCUUUUCUUCGUUGUUUUUUUCUUUUUCUCUAUUUCUUAUCUUAUAUUUUUCUCUACCAUAAAAUUAUUCCUUGCUCCUCUCCUUACACCCUAAAAAUAAAACCCUAGUCCACCUACCCUUGAGUGUAGGCAACCAUCCUAGGGUUGUCCUACAUCACACUACCUGAUAUUUGAUUUUGAAUAUUUAAUGAAGGGUCUUCUCCACCUAUAUUUCUAAUAUAAGCACCUCAAAGGCUGAACUGCUUGAAUGCAGCUCAACUCACGUUUGUUUCUUUUUCCAUCCCUGCUAUUCUCUUAUGUAUGUGUUGUGUUCAAGUAUAAUAGGCAUGGUGGCAAGCUCCAAGGAUCAUUUCUCUUAUGCCUCAAGCUCAGGUGCAUAUACGAGGACAUAGGUGUUGAGGAGCAUGUCCU
RNAcentral lists this long non-coding RNA (3265 nucleotides) under Vitis vinifera (wine grape). RNAcentral's name for it is "long non-coding RNA (VVIN_LNC002021)". The record is from RNAcentral. Lineage: Eukaryota; Viridiplantae; Streptophyta; Magnoliopsida; Vitales; Vitaceae.